CCUACGGGAGGCAGCAGUCGGGAAUAUUGCGCAAUGGAGGAAACUCUGACGCAGUGACGCCGCGUAUAGGAAGAAGGUUUUCGGAUUGUAAACUAUUGUCGUUAGGGAAGAUAAAAGACUGUACCGAAGGAGGAAGCCCAGGCGAACUAUGUGCCAGCAGCCGCGGUAAUAAAUAGGGGGCAAGCGUUAGCCGGAAUUAUUGGGUGUAAAGGGUGCGUAGAUGGAAGAACAAGUUGGUGGUGAACUCCCGCGGCUCCCCUGAGGAACUGCAACCAAAACUAUUCUCCUUGAGUGUCGGUGAGCAAAGUGGCAUUCCUAGUGUAGCGGUGAAAUGCGUCGAUAUUAGGAGGAACACCAGUGGCGAAGGCGACUUUCUGGACGAUAACUGACGUUGAGGCACGAAGGUGUGGGGAGCAAACAGGAUUAGAUACCCCAGUAGUC
This 441-nucleotide ribosomal RNA is filed under the name uncultured bacterium. RNAcentral's name for it is "partial 16S ribosomal RNA". It matches the Rfam family "Bacterial small subunit ribosomal RNA", at positions 338 to 795 of the family's 1533-position model. The record is from RNAcentral.